ACUCAAAUGAAUUGACGGGGGAGCACCACAACGGGUGGAGCUUGCGGUUUAAUUGGAUUCAACGCCGGAAAUCUUACCGGGACCGACAGCAAUAUGAAGGCCAGGCUGAAGACUUUGCCGGAUUAGCUGAGAGGUGGUGCAUGGCCGUCGUCAGUUCGUACUGUGAAGCAUCCUGUUAAGUCAGGCAACGAGCGAGACCCACGCCCACAGUUGCCAGCGUACUCUCCGGAGUGACGGGUACACUGUGGGGACCGCCGCUGCUAAAGCGGAGGAAGGAAUGGGCAACGGUAGGUCAGUAUGCCCCGAAUAUCCCGGGCUACACGCGAGCUACAAUGGUUGGUACAAUGGGUAUCUACCCCGAAAGGGGAUGGAAAUCUCCUAAAGCCAAUCUUAGUUCGGAUUGAGGGCUGCAACUCGCCCUCAUGAAGCUGGAAUCCGUAGUAAUCGCGUUUCAACAGAACGCGGUGAAUACGUCCCUGCUCCUUGCACACACCGCCCGU
This 500-nucleotide ribosomal RNA is filed under the name uncultured bacterium. RNAcentral describes it as "bacterial SSU rRNA". It matches the Rfam family "Archaeal small subunit ribosomal RNA", at positions 854 to 1353 of the family's 1478-position model. The record is from RNAcentral.